Molecule: unclassified non-coding RNA, 407 nt
Filed under: Hevea brasiliensis (rubber tree)
Lineage: Eukaryota; Viridiplantae; Streptophyta; Magnoliopsida; Malpighiales; Euphorbiaceae
Source: RNAcentral
ACAGAUGCAGAAUCUACAUAUACUGACUAUACUUUUAUAACUCAAAAAUCAAAUGCUUCAGAUUUAAGUACCAAUGUGAAUAGUGUUGUCAAUGCUUUUUUAACUGGGCCAAUGAUGCCAAUUUGUUAUGAACGAAGGCUUAAUAAUAAAGGAUCUGGCUUUAGUAAGUAAUGUUCAAGGUUCAUUGAUCUUGUCUGUCAGGUUUUGAGUUUUAGAUAUGGAAGUUCAGUAUCAAGAAAUGAAGAUUUUUUACUGAUUAGCAAUUUGAGGUGCUGAAAAGGAUCAUGUUUAGUUAGACUGCAAAUCUUUUGGUCAUAUGCAUUCUGCUGUUUCUUGCAUGUUUAUCUGCAUGCGCUUAUCUGAAUAUUGCUGUUUAUAUUGUUAGGAGUUUGCUUUCCAAUGGGAAA